ACAGCCGCCACCCGACCGGCCUCCUCCUUCCUAUGGAUCUCCUCUUGAUCCCCAUCCAUCCAACCGCAGUCGCCACCCGACCGGCCUCCUCCUUCCUAGGGAUCUCCUCUUGAUCCCCAUCCAUCCAACCGCAGCCGCCGACCACCUCACAUGUUCUACGCGCCUCUCCAAUCCCAGUGCGCUCCACCUUGCAGCCAGCACAACCCACUUCUCUCCUUGGAUACACCCAACCACCCCAUGCGCCCGCGUCCAGUGCCCGGAAGGUUAGCUGCAUCCACACCUCCCCUCACGCCCAUUCUACUCCAUGCGCGCCACCAGAGCCCUGAGCCAACCUCGUCACCGUUCAUCACCAACUCGGGAGAAUACUAGCAUAUGAGCAACAUCGGCCCCUGCACUCUUGCUGCACCUCCUUACGCUCUUUAUCUCCCUCUCCCCUAACUUCUCUUUCCUUUUCAUGGUCCAAUAAUAGCAGGAAUCCAAUGGACACCUUCAGCAGGAGCUCUCCACCAUGAUCGCCCAAAUUUUUCCCUCUGCCUUCCAUUCCUCGCUACGAACCGGAGCUCCGGUGAGCGGUCGUUAGAAUUCAACUAGGACUCCGUCAUGAGCGACCAAAAGGAAUAUCCGUGACCACGAAGCCGAGCUCCCCAUGACGAGCAUCACACUUUAUCUAGUCGGGAGACACCAUUCCCAUACGUUCCCGAUGCCCACGUUGCUGGCCUCGUCUUGCUGUCAAUCCGCGCCGCUACAUCCAUCCACUAUGCCGAUGGGUUGCUUGAGCCUCUCCCAAAUCGAGCAAGUGAGGAGAUCCCUCACAUUGAUUGCGCCACCCCAGCAAGGAUUUUCUUCUCCUUGCUAGUGUUUUGAAAGUCUUUGAGAGUGUGAGGAUUUGUUCAAUUAUGACCGUUUGUCUACUUCACGGACUCGUUCAUCUUCCAAGCGGGAUUCCACACAAGAUGAUCAUUACCUUGGAUAUCACUACUAUCUUUGCUAUGGUAGUUGUCUUGAUACUAUUGCUAUCUCUUGCUACCGACCAUGCAUUUUCAAGCCUCCCAAAAUGCCAUGAUAAGCCUCUAAUCAUCCAUCGUCCUAGCAAACCAUUGUGUGGCUAAGUUACCGCUUGCUCAACCCGCUUAUAGCAUUUCUAGUUGUAGGUGUAGUUUAUUCUAUGACAUGGAUAUUAUGGGAUAUCACACUAUCUGUUUAUUUAAUUAACACAUCUAUACACUUGGUAAAUGUUGGAAGGCUUGGCCUGUUGCCUCGCGUCUUGUUCCACUCUUGUCGCCCUAGUUUCCAUUAUACCAGUGUCAUGUGCUACUUGUAAACUGCAUUAGGAUUUUCGCCGAAAUGAAGGGGAGACGCAAAAUAGUAGAGAUAAGUAUUCCCCUCAGUGAAACCAAGGUUAUCAAACCAAUGGGAGAACCAUGCAAAUUCCCGUCUUGAGUGCCUACACACA
This is a long non-coding RNA of Hordeum vulgare subsp. vulgare (domesticated barley), 1453 nucleotides long. RefSeq lists it as uncharacterized. The record is from RefSeq and is a predicted model, not a curated record. NCBI's taxonomy places the organism in Eukaryota, Viridiplantae, Streptophyta, Magnoliopsida, Poales, Poaceae. The transcript is spliced from 3 exons.